Molecule: long non-coding RNA, 456 nt
Filed under: Mytilus galloprovincialis (Mediterranean mussel)
Lineage: Eukaryota; Metazoa; Mollusca; Bivalvia; Mytilida; Mytilidae
Source: RNAcentral
CCCCAGACUAAUUUUCCUAGGAAAUCAUGUCCAUGUCAUUAACAGUCCUAAGUUAAAAUGUCCAUGCCCUUAAUUUUAAAAGGUGAAUAUGAAUGUAAUAUGUUUUAAUAUUGCUAAAGACAAAACGAAAAAGUUGUGUAUCAAUUUGUUACAUAAAAUUUGUCUCCAGACUAAUUUUCCUAGGAAAUCAUGUCCAUGUCAUUAAUAGUUCUAGGUUAAAAUGUCCAUGCCCUUAAUUUUAAAAGGUGAAUAUAAAUGUAUUAUGUUUUAAUAUUGUUAAAGAGUUGUGUAUCAAUUUUUUAAAUAAAAUUUAUGUCCCCAGACUAAUUUUCCUAGGAAAUCAUGUCUAUGUCAUUAGUAUUCCUAGGUAAAAAUGUCCACGUCUUUUAUUAUAAAAGGAAAAUGUAAUAAGCAAUGGGAACUCAAUAUUCAUGUUUUAACUAGGUUAUAAAGGAA